This 288-nucleotide ribosomal RNA is filed under the name uncultured Lachnospiraceae bacterium. RNAcentral describes it as "partial 16S ribosomal RNA". It matches the Rfam family "Bacterial small subunit ribosomal RNA", at positions 1094 to 1382 of the family's 1533-position model. Lineage: Bacteria; Bacillati; Bacillota; Clostridia; Lachnospirales; Lachnospiraceae. The record is from RNAcentral.
GAGCGCAACCCCUAUUGUUAGUUGCCAUCAUUCAGUUGGGCACGUCUAGCGAGACUGCCGGUAAUAAACCGGAGGAAGGUGGGGAUGACGUCAAAUCAUCAUGCCCCUUAUGACCUGGGCUACACACGUGCUACAAUGGCAGGUACAGAGGGCUGCGAAGCCGCGAGGUGGAGCGAAUCCCAGAAAACCUGUCUCAGUCCGGAUUGAAGUCUGCAACUCGACUUCAUGAAGGCGGAAUCGCUAGUAACCGCGAAUCAGCAGGUCGCGGUGAAUACGUUCCCGGGCCUU